GGCCUCUUAGCUCAGUUGGCUAGAGCGUUUGCUGUUCUAAGGCCUUCCACUUGCUGCAGUGGGUUCUAAUCCCACCGAGGCCA
This 83-nucleotide transfer RNA is filed under the name Schistocephalus solidus. It matches the Rfam family "tRNA". From Rfam's summary of the family: Transfer RNA (tRNA) molecules are approximately 80 nucleotides in length. Lineage: Eukaryota; Metazoa; Platyhelminthes; Cestoda; Diphyllobothriidea; Diphyllobothriidae. The record is from Rfam by way of RNAcentral.